This 405-nucleotide ribosomal RNA is filed under the name uncultured bacterium. Its description in RNAcentral is "bacterial SSU rRNA". It matches the Rfam family "Bacterial small subunit ribosomal RNA", at positions 355 to 777 of the family's 1533-position model. The record is from RNAcentral.
UGGGGAAUAUUGCACAAUGGGCGAAAGCCUGAUGCAGCGACGCCGCGUGAGCGAAGAAGUAUUUCGGUAUGUAAAGCUCUAUCAGCAGGGAAGAAAAUGACGGUACCUGACUAAGAAGCUCCGGCUAAAUACGUGCCAGCAGCCGCGGUAAUACGUAUGGAGCAAGCGUUAUCCGGAUUUACUGGGUGUAAAGGGAGCGUAGGCGGCAGGGCAAGUCUGAUGUGAAAACCCAGGGCUCAACCUUGGGACUGCAUUGGAAACUGUUCGGCUGGAGUGUCGGAGAGGCAAGCGGAAUUCCUAGUGUAGCGGUGAAAUGCGUAGAUAUUAGGAGGAACACCAGUGGCGAAGGCGGCUUGCUGGACGAUGACUGACGCUGAGGCUCGAAAGCGUGGGGAGCAAACAGGA